UACUUUGACCCCUACGUUGAAAUAUUACGUAGUGCGUGUCUUAGUUUGCUUUUACUCACACAAUUAAGUCCUGAAAGCAACGAACGUGACCGCAACCUCUUGUUGCCUUUAUACCAAAAAAAAUUUUUCCGUUCGCGGUUAAUUUUUAUAAAAAGGCUUUUAAACUAGAGGGACCGCUGUAACUUUUUUAAACCAGAGGAAGGUUGCGGCAAUAACAGGUCUGUGAUGCCCUUAGAUGUUCCGGGCUGCACACGUGCUACANAUGAUUAUUGCAGUGAGCAUCUCAUUUUAAUACACUCGCAUGUGGCGUGUCCAGAUUAUUUGCAUAKCUUUUGUGUGUAUUUUAGAUUGUGUACAUUGCGCGCGGUAAAGCUCUGCUUCGA
This 383-nucleotide ribosomal RNA is filed under the name Cibicides refulgens. Its description in RNAcentral is "partial 18S ribosomal RNA". The stretch from base 1 to 260 matches the Rfam family "Eukaryotic small subunit ribosomal RNA", at positions 1318 to 1520 of the family's 1831-position model. Lineage: Eukaryota; Foraminifera; Rotaliida; Cibicididae. The record is from RNAcentral.